Molecule: non-coding RNA, 131 nt
Organism: Pelobates cultripes (western spadefoot toad)
Lineage: Eukaryota; Metazoa; Chordata; Amphibia; Anura; Pelobatidae
Source: the annotation of a GenBank genome assembly
GCAGCACACACACAGCAGUGUAUGUGUAUGUAUAUAUGUAUAUGUGUAUAUAUGUAUAUGUGUGUAUGUGUAUAUAUAUAUAUAUAUAUAUAUAUAUACACACAUACAUAUACACGCGGCGUGUGUUUGUG